Molecule: ribosomal RNA, 466 nt
Filed under: Leptotrichia sp. canine oral taxon 294
Lineage: Bacteria; Fusobacteriati; Fusobacteriota; Fusobacteriia; Fusobacteriales; Leptotrichiaceae
Description: bacterial SSU rRNA
Rfam family: Bacterial small subunit ribosomal RNA
Source: RNAcentral
GAGUUUGAUUCUGGCUCAGGAUGAACGCUGACAGAAUGCUUAACACAUGCAAGUCGAUGGGGAAGUAGUACUUGUACUAUGAUAACCAUGGCGGACGGGUGAGUAACGCGUAAAGAACUUGCCUUUAGGACAGGGAUAACAGAGGGAAACUUCUGAUAAGACUUGAUAUAAUUAUUUAGUUGCAUGACUAGGUAAUGAAAAGAGAUGCCUAAAGAGAGCUUUGCGUCCUAUUAGUUAGUUGGUGGGGUAAAGGCUUACCAAGGCGAUGAUAGGUAGCCGGCCUGAGAGGGUGGACGGCCACAAGGGGACUGAGAUACGGCCCUUACUCUUACGGGAGGCAGCAGUGGGGAAUAUUGGACAAUGGAGGAGACUCUGAUCCAGCAAUUCUGUGUGCACGAAGAAGGUUUUCGGAUUGUAAAGUGCUUUCAGCAGGGAAGAAGGAAGUGACGUACCUNAGAAGAGCGCG